GACGAACGCUGGCGGCGUGCCUAAUACAUGCAAGUUGAGCGCUGAAGGUUGGUACUUGUACCGACUGGAUGAGCAGCGAACGGGUGAGUAACGCGUGGGGAAUCUGCCUUUGAGCGGGGGACAACAUUUGGAAACGAAUGCUAAUACCGCGUAAAAACUUUAAACACAAGUUUUAAGUUUGAAAGAUGCAAUCGCAUCACUCAAAGAUGAUCCCGCGUUGUAUUAGCUAGUUGGUGAGGUAAAGGCUCACCAAGGCGAUGAUACAUAGCCGACCUGAGAGGGUGAUCGGCCACAUUGGGACUGAGACACGGCCCAAACUCCUACGGGAGGCAGCAGGAGGGAAUCUUCGGCAAUGGACGAAAGUCUGACCGAGCAACGCCGCGUGAGUGAAGAAGGUUUUCGGAUCGUAAAACUCUGUUGGUAGAGAAGAACGUUGGUGAGAGUGGAAAGCUCAUCAAGUGACGGUAACUACCCAGAAAGCCACGGCUAACUACGUGCCAGCAGCCGCCGUAA
This 513-nucleotide ribosomal RNA is filed under the name uncultured bacterium. RNAcentral describes it as "partial 16S ribosomal RNA". It matches the Rfam family "Bacterial small subunit ribosomal RNA", at positions 28 to 523 of the family's 1533-position model. The record is from RNAcentral.